RNAcentral lists this ribosomal RNA (467 nucleotides) under uncultured bacterium. Its description in RNAcentral is "partial 16S ribosomal RNA". It matches the Rfam family "Bacterial small subunit ribosomal RNA", at positions 29 to 507 of the family's 1533-position model. The record is from RNAcentral.
ACGAACGCUGGCGGCGUGCUUAACCCAUGCAAGUCGAACGGAAAGGCCCUGCUUUUGUGGGGUGCUCGAGUGGCGAACGGGUGAGUAACACGUGAGUAACCUGCCCUUGACUUUGGGUUAACUUCAGGAAACUGGGGCUAAUACCGGAUAGGAGCUCCUGCUGCAUGGUGGGGGUUGGAAAGUUUCGGCGGUUGGGGAUGGACUCGCGGCUUAUCAGCUUGUUGGUGGGGUAGUGGCUUACCAAGGCUUUGACGGGUAGCCGGCCUGAGAGGGUGACCGGCCACAUUGGGACUGAGAUACGGCCCAGACUCCUACGGGAGGCAGCAGUGGGGAAUAUUGCACAAUGGGCGGAAGCCUGAUGCAGCAACGCCGCGUGCGGGAUGACGGCCUUCGGGUUGUAAACCGCUUUCGCCUGUGACGAAGCGUGAGUGACGGUAAUGGGUAAAGAAGCACCGGCUAACUACGUG